This is a non-coding RNA of Acanthosepion pharaonis, 99 nucleotides long. Lineage: Eukaryota; Metazoa; Mollusca; Cephalopoda; Sepiida; Sepiidae. The record is from the annotation of a GenBank genome assembly.
AUUGAAACACCGAUUCCCGUACGAUCAGUGAAGUUAAGCAACGUCGAGCCAGGUUAUUACUUAGGUGGGUGACAGCUUGGGAAUACCAGGCGCUGUAAU